Molecule: ribosomal RNA, 339 nt
Filed under: uncultured bacterium
Lineage: Bacteria
Description: bacterial SSU rRNA
Rfam family: Bacterial small subunit ribosomal RNA
Source: RNAcentral
GAUGAACGCUAGCGGCAGGCUUAAUACAUGCAAGUCGAACGGGAUUUAGGAGCUUGCUUCUAAUGAGAGUGGCGCACGGGUGAGUAACACGUACACAAUCUACCUUGUACAGGGGGAUAGCCUUGGGAAACUGAGAAUAAUACCCCAUAGUUUUAAUUUAUCGCAUGAUAGAUUAAAUAAAGCUGAGGCGGUACAAGAUGAGUGUGCGGAUGAUUAGGUAGUUGGUAGGGUAACGGCCUACCAAGCCGACGAUCAAUAGACUGGCGUGAGAGCGCGACCAGCCACACUGGAACUGAGACACGGUCCAGACUCCUACGGGAGGCAGCAGUAGGGAAUAUU